This 800-nucleotide ribosomal RNA is filed under the name uncultured archaeon. RNAcentral describes it as "bacterial SSU rRNA". It matches the Rfam family "Archaeal small subunit ribosomal RNA", at positions 81 to 879 of the family's 1478-position model. The record is from RNAcentral.
CCUUACGGCUCAGUAACACGUGGAUAACCUGCCCUUGGGUCCGGCAUAACCCCGGGAAACUGGGGAUAAUUCCGGAUAACGCAUAUAUGCUGGAAUGCUUUAUGCGUCAAAUGGAUUCGUCUGCCCAAGGAUGGAUCUGCGGCCUAUCAGGUAGUAGUGGGUGUAAUGUACCUACUAGCCAACAACGGGUACGGGUUGUGAGAGCAAGAGCCCGGAGAUGGAUUCUGAGACAUGAAUCCAGGCCCUACGGGGCGCAGCAGGCGCGAAAACUUUACAAUGCGGGAAACCGUGAUAAGGGGACACCGAGUGCUAGCAUCAUAUGCUGGCUGUCCAGGUGUGUAAACUACACCUGUUAGCAAGGGCCGGGCAAGACCGGUGCCAGCCGCCGCGGUAACACCGGCGGCCCGAGUGGUGAUCGUGAUUAUUGGGUCUAAAGGGUCCGUAGCCGGUUUGGUCAGUCCUCCGGGAAAUCUGAUAGCUCAACUGUUAGGCUUUCGGGGGAUACUGCCAGACUUGGAACCGGGAGAGGUAAGAGGUACUACAGGGGUAGGAGUGAAAUCUUGUAAUCCCUGUGGGACCACCUGUGGCGAAGGCGUCUUACCAGAACGGGUUCGACGGUGAGGGACGAAAGCUGGGGGCACGAACCGGAUUAGAUACCCGGGUAGUCCCAGCCGUAAACGAUGCUCGCUAGGUGUCAGGCAUGGCGCGACCGUGUCUGGUGCCGCAGGGAAGCCGUGAAGCGAGCCACCUGGGAAGUACGGCCGCAAGGCUGAAACUUAAAGGAAUUGGCGGGGGAGCAC